UUCCGUUGCGGAGCUACCAUGCAGUCGAGCGGUAACAGAGAGUAGCUUGCUACUCUGCUGACGAGCGGCGGACGGGUGAGUAAUGCUUGGGAAUGUACCUUAUGGUGGGGGACAACAGUUGGAAACGACUGCUAAUACCGCAUAAUGUCUUCGGACCAAAGCGGGGGACCUUCGGGCCUCGCGCCAUAAGAUCAGCCCAAGUGGGAUUAGCUAGUUGGUGAGGUAAUGGCUCACCAAGGCGACGAUCCCUAGCUGGUUUGAGAGGAUGAUCAGCCACACUGGGACUGAGACACGGCCCAGACUCCUACGGGAGGCAGCAGUGGGGAAUAUUGCACAAUGGGCGCAAGCCUGAUGCAGCCAUGCCGCGUGUGUGAAGAAGGCCUUCGGGUUGUAAAGCACUUUCAGUAAGGAGGAAAGGUUGGAUGUUAAUAGCAUUCAGCUGUGACGUUACUUACAGAAGAAGCACCGGCUAACUCCGUGCCAGCAGCCGCGGUAAUACGGAGGGUGCGAGCGUUAAUCGGAAUUACUGGGCGUAAAGCGUACGCAGGCGGUUUGUUAAUCGAGAUGUGAAAGCCCCGGGCUCAACCUGGGAACUGCAUUUCAAACUGGCAAACUAGAGUGUGAUAGAGGGUGGUAGAAUUUCAGGUGUAGCGGUGAAAUGCGUAGAGAUCUGCAGGAAUACCGAUGGCGAACGCAGCCACCUGGGGCCACCCUGGCGCUCAUGUACGAAAACGUGAGGGAGCCAACAUGAUCAGAUACCCUGGUACUCA
This 770-nucleotide ribosomal RNA is filed under the name Pseudoalteromonas sp. RNAcentral's name for it is "bacterial SSU rRNA". It matches the Rfam family "Bacterial small subunit ribosomal RNA", at positions 36 to 797 of the family's 1533-position model. The record is from RNAcentral. Lineage: Bacteria; Pseudomonadati; Pseudomonadota; Gammaproteobacteria; Alteromonadales; Pseudoalteromonadaceae.